GACGAACGCUGGCGGCGUGCUUAACACAUGCAAGUCGAACGGCAAGGCCCUGCUUUUGUGGGGUGCUCGAGUGGCGAACGGGUGAGUAACACGUGAGUAACCUGCCCUUGACUUUGGGAUAACUUCAGGAAACUGGGGCUAAUACAAGAUCGCAGCCCCCGCUGCAUGGUGGGGGUUGGAAAGUUUCGGCGGUCGGGGAUGGACUCGCGGAUUAUCGGCUUGUUGGUGGGGUAGUGGCUUACCAAGGCUUUGACGGGUAGCCGGCCUGAGAGGGUGACCGGCCACAUUGGGACUGAGGUACGGCGCAGACUCCUACGGGGGGCAGCAGUGGGGAAUAUUGCACAAUGGGCGGAAGCCUGAUGCAGCGACGCCGCGUGCGUGAUGACGUCCUUCGGGUUGUAAACCGCUUUCGCCUGUGACGAAGCGUUAGUGACGGUAAUGGGUAAAGAAGCACCGGCUAACUACGUG
This 468-nucleotide ribosomal RNA is filed under the name uncultured bacterium. Its description in RNAcentral is "partial 16S ribosomal RNA". It matches the Rfam family "Bacterial small subunit ribosomal RNA", at positions 28 to 507 of the family's 1533-position model. The record is from RNAcentral.